AAAGUACCCGUGAUUAUAUAUUUAUUAUAGUUCACAGAGCGGCCUUAGCCGUGUUCUAUCCUACACGAAGGGGUCUUGACCGGAUAUUGGUCUCGAUCGUGUACAUAUAGUUCACAGAAAGGUCUUGACCAUGUUCCAGAAUUGAUUACUAGAGGUCUUUGAGACCGACUUUUGUUCACGGAUAGGGCCAAGGGCCUAUGGGGAAAGUUCUUAACCCGAGGGGCGGAUUACAUAUUUCAAUCAGAUGGUACAUUUUUGAUGAAUUUUUCAGUAUGUUUGAUGUGAUGAGAUUAUAGCGUGGUUAUCAGCUGAUAUUUAUAUCAUGAUUUUGAGAUGAUAUUUUAC
This 345-nucleotide long non-coding RNA is filed under the name Olea europaea subsp. europaea. Lineage: Eukaryota; Viridiplantae; Streptophyta; Magnoliopsida; Lamiales; Oleaceae. The record is from RNAcentral.